UCCGGUGGUUAUAGCAAAGGAGUCACACCCGAUCCCAUCCCGAACUCGGUAGUUAAGACCUUUAGCGCCAAUGGCACUGCUAGGGCAACUUAGUGGGAGAGUAGGACGCUGCCGGAU
This 117-nucleotide ribosomal RNA is filed under the name Deltaproteobacteria bacterium. The record is from RNAcentral. Lineage: Bacteria; Pseudomonadati; Myxococcota; Myxococcia.